Non-coding RNA from Acanthosepion pharaonis, 113 nucleotides. Lineage: Eukaryota; Metazoa; Mollusca; Cephalopoda; Sepiida; Sepiidae. The record is from the annotation of a GenBank genome assembly.
UACAGCCAUAACACGUUGAAAUACCGGUUGUCGUACGAUCACCGAAGUUAAACAACAUUGAGCCUGGUCAGUAUCGAGAUGAGUGACCGAUUGGGAAUACCAGGUGUUGUAAG